This 400-nucleotide ribosomal RNA is filed under the name uncultured bacterium. RNAcentral's name for it is "partial 16S ribosomal RNA". It matches the Rfam family "Bacterial small subunit ribosomal RNA", at positions 338 to 755 of the family's 1533-position model. The record is from RNAcentral.
CCUACGGGCGGCAGCAGUGGGGAAUAAUGCACAAUGGGGGGAACCCUGAUGCAGCGACGCCGCGUGAGUGAAGAAGUAUUUCGGUAUGUAAAGCUCUAUCAGCAGGGAAGAAAAUGACGGUACCUGACUAAGAAGCCCCGGCGAACGACGUGCCAGCAGCCGCGGUAAUACGGAGGGGGCAAGCGUGAGCCGGAUUUACUGGGUGUAACGGGAGCGCAGCCGGCUGGGCAAGGCUGGCGUGAAAGGCGGGGGCCCAACCCCCGGACUGCUCUGGAAACUGGAAGGCUGGAGUGCAGGAGAGGUAAGCGUAAUUCCUAGUGUAGCGGUGAACUGCGUCGAUAUUAGGAGGAACACCAGUGGCGACGGCGGCUUACUGGACUGCACCUGCCGUCGCGGCUCG